Xiphias gladius (swordfish) is the source of this 454-nucleotide long non-coding RNA. RefSeq lists it as uncharacterized. Lineage: Eukaryota; Metazoa; Chordata; Actinopteri; Istiophoriformes; Xiphiidae. The transcript has 3 exons. The record is from RefSeq and is a predicted model, not a curated record.
CAAAAGUCGUGGGAAAAUGUAGUUUUCAAGGUUACUCCACAAUCAAAUAAAACCACUUCUAAAAAAUAAUUGACACAUUUAUGUUUUGCGUUAGGUGGUAAAUGUGUGAACUUACUCAGAAAUGCUGUUGGCAGAGGAGGAAUGUCGGGUGCUUUCAGAGACCAGUUAACGUUAAACAAGCUAGCUAAAUAAACGGCCUCUAAAGACAGCAGGUUAAUGGUGGACAGGUCCAGCAGGCCGAGCGACUCCAUUUUGAAAAGUUUGAGGCCUGUUUCACCAGGUGAGCCCGGUGGCCAUUGAUGCAGGUAUAACGAACAAAAAGGAAACUUUCAAGAAAUGAUGAGGAAAUGGCGGACCUGUGACAUAAAGCGUUACUGAAACCCCAUGCGGGAGCACCUGAUCAAAAUAUGUUUUUGAGUUGGGUGUAAAGGCGCCGCACAUAUCCACACUGAGA